UCUCCGUAGGUGAACCUGCGGAGGGAUCAUUACAGAGUUCAUGCCCUACCGGGUAGAUCUCCCACCCUAUGUUAUUAUUACUUUGUUGCUUUGGCGGGCCGUUAGGCUCCGGCCCGACUACCGGCCCCGGCUGGUAAGCGCCCGCCAGAGGACCCAGACCCUGAAUAUUAGUGUCGUCUGAGUACUAUAUAAUAGUUAAAACUUUCAACAACGGAUCUCUUGGUUCUG
RNAcentral lists this unclassified non-coding RNA (228 nucleotides) under plant metagenome. RNAcentral's name for it is "partial contains small subunit ribosomal RNA, internal transcribed spacer 1, and 5.8S ribosomal RNA". The record is from RNAcentral.